This 1156-nucleotide long non-coding RNA is filed under the name Sarcophilus harrisii (Tasmanian devil). RNAcentral's name for it is "lncRNA (ENSSHAG00000032042.1)". Lineage: Eukaryota; Metazoa; Chordata; Mammalia; Dasyuromorphia; Dasyuridae. The record is from RNAcentral.
AAAGUACCCAGAUAAUGAGACAAUAAUUGCAGAUAAUUCAUACAUCUCUCCUUCAGACAAUAGAAAAUCUAUAUAAUAAAAGCCAAUUAUGUACAGAAGAGAAUCUUGGGAAAACUGUUAAAACUGGACAUUUUUGAAUAGGAAUCAAAGUGUUCCUUGGUUCAUAGAAAACUGAGGAUAUUGUAAGAACCUAAAAACUUCAAUAUAAAAAAUAUUAAAUAUUAUAAAAUAGUAAGGAUAAUAAUGUAGACCUACAUGAAGAAUUAAAUAUAUUUAAAUGAGUGAUUCAAAAUAUAAAAUAAUGGAAAUGAGUAAUUACAUUGAAAGAAUGAACAAUGAAAAGAAUUAAAAUAUAUAGGCUUUACCUAUAUUAGACCUUAGGAAAAAAUAUGUAUCUCUGAACAUUUAAAUCAAUAAAAGUAUUAAUAAACAGCCUGCAUUUUUAAAACUACAAAUUCCAAUAGUUUAAUAAUCCCCAAACUAGCAUGAAGCAGAAAUUUUGAAAUCAAAUAAACCAAAUGAAAAGCAAAGCUUUUUGAAUUAACAAAACAAUGAUGUAAAAAGAAAGAAAAUAAACUAAAGCAUUCUGCUCUCCUUUUUAAAAAUUCUAAAUUCAAAAUUACCAAAAUCAAAGAUAAGAUGGUAGAAUUCAUGACAAAUGCAAAAAAUAUAAAGAAAAUUAUCAAGAGUUAUAAUUUAUUAGUCUGGUUCUGGAUUUGAAGAAACAAAAAUGGUUCUAUAUGCCUUAAAGGAUUUAAUGAUAGUGCAAGAAACACCAAUGGAACUGACCAAAAAGAAAAAGAUUAUAAAAAUAUAUGUCAUAUCUCAUUUUAAGAUAUGUGUUUAUUUCAUGAUAUCUGUGAAUUCCUGUAUUAAUAUAUAGAGACAGAGACAUAUACACAUUAAAUGCAUAUAUAUAUAUAAUAGCAACCCAAGUAAUCAUCAUCCAGGCUAACUGAUAAAUAAAAGACAAAUAUGCAAUCACAUUAGAGAUUGCUUGAGUUUCAUAGAAGCCCUCAGAGAUGAUUUAGUUAAUUGAUGCCUGAGUAAGAGUCCCUUCUAUUAAGAACUUAGUCAAGUGUUUAUUCAUUUAUUUGUCUGAGGAUCCCAAGAGAGAGAACUUAGAAUAUCCUUAGGCAGUCCAUUCCUCUUCUGG